GUUCACGAUGAAAUAGUUGGUGACCGUCUGCAAGUGGCGGUUGCAGGCCACGGAGAGGAUGACGAGAAGGUUGCCCGCCACAGCGCUCUCCUGCACCCCGGCUUUUGCCCCAGCGCUCCUCGCUGCCUCCCUUCCUCUCUCUGGACUUGCGGUCACUCUCUGCUUGCCCUUGCCCUAGCGGAGCAUACAAGGGCAACUGGCCAGCCCAAGAUCUCAAAACCCACUAUGGUGCGAUGGUGGCAUUGAGACAGCCCUGAAGGGGUCAAGAUGCUUGGGCGCGGGUUGAAGAUGGGCGUGACUGGCGUGAGACCAGAUGGUGUGGUCACAGCCCUAGGACUUUGCCCGUACUCUGAAUAAUACCAACUUUGGCCCUGCAACUCUACUCUGCAUCAGAAGUCAGAAUAAAUCUUCCUGUUGCUACUCGAAGUACUCGGGACUCCCUCUGGGCAGAAAAGGUCACGUUCUGGAGGGUGGGAAAGGUUACUGCAGGGUGCUUAACAGGGAGGGAGCAGAGUAGCUUGCCUCCACCAUUCAGGCUCCGGCGUCUUGUGCCUCGGUUCCCCACAUGUGAAAACGAGAGUAAGAUUCACUGUGUUAGCAGCGCCACCAAAGUAGUGCCCAUACUUCUCAGAAGAGUGGAGAAUAGUGGGGUAAAGCCUGAACACGAAGAACAGAGGGGAGAGGGGACGGGGCUGUGCUAGGAAGCAGGGACGCAAGGGAAAGAGAAGGGAGGGAGGAGGACCAAUAGGGAGAGACACAAUGCCACUGGACCACCCCAGGCAACUGUACUUACAUGGUGCACAUAAACUGGCCUCCUCAGGCAACUGUACUUACAUGGUGCACAUAAACUCAUGUAGGCACACACAUGAUGUGCGCGAGCACACACACACACAAGUGCAGGCACAAAUACAUCUUCAAAACACUACCUUUCAUUCUUCAUCAUUUCUUCCUUUCCUUGACUUGGCUUAUGGAAGCGAGGCCAUAGAGAUGCGGGAGGAUGCUCUGAAAAUGUCAUGUGCAUGUCCUUGGUGCCUGGUUUAUUCCUUGUUGCAGAUGGUGGGAUGGUAGAAGCAAUGAAAGCCUCAGUUGUGUUGUGACAUGAGCUUUCUUCUUCUCCCAUCCUGCAGACCAUUCACUGAACUCGAUCCACAAGAGCUGAGCCCUUGGCAGGCAAAGUAUGACUUAUACACACACUGCCUUCCUAAGGCAGAUAUUCUGAUAGGAGCUUGUACCUGGGGAGUGAAUACUGGAAUUGUCUUACUGUAGGGUCUUCAGCAAUUCUUACUGUAGGGUCUUCAGCAACUCUCUGGGACCAUUGCCUUCUUUACAGCUGAGGGCAAAUGGAAUUGGAAUAGAACAGAAUAAAGCAGUGGGAUUCUGGCUUCAAAGCAAGACUUCAAACCAGCAUCUUAGAGAAGUGUUGGCUGGAUUGGGGCAAUCUAAGUCUGACCCUCUGGGCCCUCCUUGCAAGUCUCCCCACUGGUUCUCAAAGCACUGUGAGCUCCUGGAGGCUCAUGGGCAUAGCGCUGGCUCCCUGAUCCUGGAGAACCUGCUUUGUGGUUCAGCAGAAGGGACUUCCUUUGAGAUGGAAGACGAAGUUCAUGUUAUGUCAGAAACAGACAUGUUUGUCUUUCUAUAUGUCAGGGCUUGUGGAAUAAUCAGUAAAAUCACAAGCUAUGUUAGCUUACUUGACUGAAA
Long non-coding RNA from Mus musculus (house mouse), 1698 nucleotides. RefSeq annotates it as predicted gene 14285. The transcript is spliced from 3 exons. The record is from RefSeq and is a predicted model, not a curated record. Lineage: Eukaryota; Metazoa; Chordata; Mammalia; Rodentia; Muridae.